GGGCUCACUGAGGCAGCAUAUAUACCAAAAUAGGAAUGAUAAAGAGAAGAUUAGCAUAGCCGUGAGCAAGAAUGACACAAAAAUUCACAAAGCAUUCCAUAUUUCU
Molecule: small nuclear RNA, 106 nt
Organism: Cynocephalus volans (Philippine flying lemur)
Lineage: Eukaryota; Metazoa; Chordata; Mammalia; Dermoptera; Cynocephalidae
Source: RefSeq, a predicted model, not a curated record